RNAcentral lists this long non-coding RNA (842 nucleotides) under Hordeum vulgare. RNAcentral's name for it is "long non-coding RNA (HVUL_LNC016437)". Lineage: Eukaryota; Viridiplantae; Streptophyta; Magnoliopsida; Poales; Poaceae. The record is from RNAcentral.
GUGGGGCAGCGGCGGCGUGAGAUCGGAGAAGGGAGAGACGAAUUUUUUUCCGCAACUUGACCUUUCUUGCAAAAAUUUCUGAAACAUGACCUUUGUUGUAAAAAAUUCUCCCGUAAAAGUACCUAUAUUGUAGAAAGACAAAAAAAAAACUGCAACAAGCAAAUUGUUUCUAAAACUCGACCGUUGUUUCAGGAAUUAAACGGGUCCAAAGUUUAUUUCUUGCAACAAAGCGAAAGUUUCUGCAGCUCAACCACCGUUUCAGGAAUUAUGCGUAGCAGCGUGCUUGUUUCCGUAACUGGAGCGUUGUUUCGGAAUUUUGUGUGGUGGACGGGAGGUGACCGAGCUGGUGGUGCACGUGUAUGCAUCGGCGGCUAAAAGGAUGGUGGAUGGUUAUUACAAAUCCACCGAUGGAUGUCUAACAGUCUCCAUUCUUUUAUAGCUAACUAUUAUACAAACUAGCUAUAAGAUAGGUUAUAAGAUGAUUUAUAGCCAACAGUUGGUUAUAUUAUUAACCAUGGUCUAAGUAACUCCCACUACGGACAGCCUAAAGAGGAGGCAGAUUUCACUGGAGAGGUUGCCUGCGAACCGGGACAGAUUUAGAAAGGAUUGCUACAAAAGGGGAAAGGCGCAGAGUAAUAUGGAAAAAACUAAAAAAAUUAUACGCACACUAAAUUGGAUCGGAGGGAGUAUUUUGUAUAGUGUCCAAAUUUCAAUCGCCACCCAAUUGCGCAACAUGUGGACAUCCAUCUGUUUUGUCGUGCUGUGGACACAGCAUGGUUUGCGAGGCGUGCCACCUUUAUUACAAUAUAUUACUCCUCGAGAGGGGUCACUCGGUUGUACUG